GUGUUGAGCUGAGACUGUCCUGCUGCACUCCAGCCUGGGCCACAGAGCAAGACUCUGUCUCAGUCAGUCAGUCAGCUAAUUUACUUUUGGUAGUAGGCUGAUUUAUUAAGACUGACCCUAGGAUUAAAUGUUGUCAUUUGUCUGCCCCUUAUUUUUCUUCCCUUAACAAUUGCGGUGGUGAGCUGCCUUGUCCUGACUUUGACCCACAAUGUGUGUUCAGCCUCAGGACUUAUUAUGUAGAUUAUGCUCCUUUUAAAUGUUAAUGUUUCACAUUUAUGCUUGUGUGAAUUGCUCAUUUUCUGUCAUAACCUGGGGGUAUGGAAGGAAUCUGUUGAAGACCAAGGAGGUAGGCUUUACCACAAUACUGACAUCUUUCUUCUCAGCUCAGGCAGGGAGCCUUGGCUAGCUUACCUAUUGCAGCUGCCUCAAAAGGAGGUGAUUGGCAGAAUCCUACCUGCUUUGCUUUGACUUUUCAUUGCUAGAGUGUGCUGAAGGAUGCCAGAUGUUUGGGGAAAACAAGUUCCUUUUGGCUUUCAAUCCCUAUUCUUGCCAAAUUCUUACCUGCUUUUUCAUGAGGAUGCCCUGGCUUGCAAGAAAAAAAGACAAAAACAUAAAUUUGACUCUUAAUUUGAGCAUUCUGACCCAUUUUCAGCUUUAUAUAUCCUUGGUCCAUUUUUCUUCCUGUUGUUUUGACAACUUUCAUGGUGGUGAGACUGAGUGCCUAUUCAUAGAUAGAGAGCUUUCUCUUGCGUUGAAAACAAGAAUGAUGGUUGAUAAGUUGAACAACCACAGACAAGAUUUUCAGGAAAAUUGGUAACUUAUUUUGAGAAUUUACUGCUAAUUUACUGUUGUAAGUUACAGAAACUGAACUUAAAUAUUACUAAACAACCAUAUUAAAUAUUUGCCAUAUUUUAAGUUGUUCUCUGCGUUGAGUUCACGUUAUAGGUGUAAAACAUAUUUAGUAAGUAGGUCAAAUUAUAUUAACCUAUUUUUUUUCCCGUAGGUUAAAAGACACCUGACUCUUCCAGAUAAUUUUUCAGAUUUUACCACUGGAAUUUACUUAUAUAUCCCCUAAUACUUAUAUAAUCAAUCUUGCUCUGUUAUUUACCUUUCAUAAGUACUUGAAAUGGAUAUGGCUUACAUAUUGGGGUGUGGGUUAUCCUCCAGAUGAAACUCCAAGUUUAUCAAACUUAAGAUCCGUUAUAAUGCCCAGCAACAAAAUAAUUAAAACAGACUUGAAAAGAUGAGUAGCACCCUAGCAUACUAGACAUUAAUGUUGGAGGUAUUAAAUUCCAGAUCCGGCUGUACUAGGCCUUUAUGAGAACUAACCUCUUAAAAAGGUCAGCAGCUUUCCUAGGCUUCAAAGUGCCAGAAAAAUGAGUGAAUAACCACGUUUCUGUGUGUACUUUUAGCUAUUACUUUGAAAAUUGUAAUAACUUACAUAUUGCCUGUCUAUUUUGAAUCAGCUGUGACAUCUGUAUUCUUUUCAUUAAAUCAUCUAAAUUAUAUAAACCAAUUGCCACUAAUUUUUCUUGGCAAUAGUGCUUUGGAAGAAUUAAAUAUAUUUGAACUGUAUAUUGAAGUAGCCAAAGUGACCUUCAGAAGGAAUGUAAGUAUCUUAAACAUAAUAUUUUGUCUUACUUAGUUGUCACAAGGACAUUAUUUGGAUGGUCAUGUCCCCCUACUCUUAGCCCUUGCAAAUCUCCAUGUGCAGUGAGCAAGCAGUAUUACUGCUGGAGUAUAUUCUUGUCUCUGAAGUAGAGACACAAAAAGGGCUGAGCUCUGGUGCUCUGUUAUUCUGCUAGAUUGGUCACAAAUUUCUGGAGAAUUGUGUU
This is a long non-coding RNA of Sapajus apella (tufted capuchin), 1835 nucleotides long. RefSeq lists it as uncharacterized. NCBI's taxonomy places the organism in Eukaryota, Metazoa, Chordata, Mammalia, Primates, Cebidae. The transcript is spliced from 2 exons. The record is from RefSeq and is a predicted model, not a curated record.